Molecule: ribosomal RNA, 777 nt
Filed under: uncultured Neocallimastigales
Lineage: Eukaryota; Fungi; Neocallimastigomycota; Neocallimastigomycetes; Neocallimastigales
Description: partial large subunit ribosomal RNA
Rfam family: Eukaryotic large subunit ribosomal RNA
Source: RNAcentral
CGUCUAUAUACGUAUAGCAUAUCAAUAAGCGGAGGAAAAGAAACUAACUAGGAUUCCCUCAGUAACGGCGAGUGAAGCGGGAAGAGCUCAAAUUUGAAAGUCUUCAAGGUUCUACCUUGACGAAUUGUAGUUUAAAGAAGUGUUUUCUGUUGGAAGUUUUCGGUAAAAGUUCUUUGGAAUAGGACAUCAUAGAGGGUGAGAAUCCCGUAUUUGACCAUUAUUUCCAACUUUGUGAUACACUUUCAAAGAGUCGGAUUGUUUGGGAAUGCAGUCCAAAAUGGGUGGUAAAUUUCAUCUAAAGCUAAAUACUGGCGAGAGACCGAUAGCGAACAAGUACCGUGAAGGGAAAGAUGAAAAGAACUUUGAAAAGAGAGUUAAACAGUACGUGAAAUUGUCAAAAGGGAAGCGUUUGACACCAGUGUUGUUUUCUCGAAAAUCAAUUAAAAAUGGUGGGAUUUUGUGUUGUAUUGACUUUAUCAGCUUUCUGCACUUUUUUCCUAUCUUUUUUAAUGCACUUUUCGUUUAACAAGUCAACAUCAAUUUCUUUUGUUGUAAAAGGGUCAUUGGAAGGUGGCUUUCUUUUCGGAGAAAGUGUUUAUAGCCUUUGGCUUCUGCAAUCGGAGAGAUUGAGGUCUGCAGCGUAGAUCCUUCGGGGUUAGAUACAUUUGUGCUAAGCUAUAGCCUUUCAUAGACAACUUGUUGACUAUGCUCAGUCAUGUAGCUUACUCGCUUGUGCUAUUUUACCUACGCUUAGGAUGUUGACGAUCAGCUGAGCGC